UUGGGAAAAAUAAUAGUGUUCCCGUGAAUGCAUUGUGGACAAAUCCUCCUUCCUCAACGUGGUGAAAAAUUCUCUACACUUUCCCUUGAAUUUUCUUUCUUGCCAUAGAAGAGUUUUGGGUUUUAUGGAUUGGAAUUGGUUGGAAGAUUCGAAUCAGAGAAGAUUGGUUGUGGUUGUGCUGGAGAUGAGGAAAAAAAAGGAUUGUUUCAGAUCUUUCCUCCAUCACAUAGGAUUAAGUGGAUUUUGGGUCCGGCUUAUGGAAUCGGUUUCUUUCAUGAUGUUGGUGCUUCUUGAUCAUAUCCCAAACAUUUGCUGACUUUGCAUUGGAUGGUGUUCUAUUAUGGUGGUCCUAUUUGGAUCCAGUUAACUUUCACUGAGGGUUUCUACCAACAAGUGAAGCGCGUUGGAUUUUGGUCUUAGCGGAAUCCCUGACGGAUAUAAUUGUUUGGUUACUUGAUUUAGGUCCAUACUAUGCAAUGCAAAUCAUAAUAUUUGUCUGAUGGUAUGAUGCGAUGUAAUUUUUUUAAUUAUGGCUUAAGGUUUUAGCCGACCUUGUCAAUAAGGUUGAUGUUUUGUAUUUAUAGGUGAAUUGUUCAUGUAAUUCAGAUAUACAUGUGAUAUCGAUGGUUGGUUA
This is a long non-coding RNA of Cryptomeria japonica (Japanese cedar), 634 nucleotides long. RefSeq lists it as uncharacterized. The record is from RefSeq and is a predicted model, not a curated record. Lineage: Eukaryota; Viridiplantae; Streptophyta; Pinopsida; Cupressales; Cupressaceae. The transcript has 2 exons.